This 1048-nucleotide unclassified non-coding RNA is filed under the name Hevea brasiliensis (rubber tree). The record is from RNAcentral. Lineage: Eukaryota; Viridiplantae; Streptophyta; Magnoliopsida; Malpighiales; Euphorbiaceae.
CUCAUUUCUAUAGAUAUAUAUAUGGUUAUAUUUCUUAUCAGAUUGACUGCUUAACUGCUCUAGCUAACUUCCUCUGCAUCUACCUUUUUCACAGAACUAUGCUUCUUACAAUCAUAAAAGAAAACCACAAAGAUCACCCACUUUAACACAUUUGCCAAGCAAACAAGCCCAAUAUGUAAUAUUGUGCCAAUGACUUCACCUCCUCCUGUCUUCCAUCCAGCAUAGAGGCAUGAUAAUCUCAGGCCAAGUCUCCAGGCAAAUAAUACCAGCAUUAGAACAAAUCCACAUAGCUUUCUACCUCUGCUUAGAUAUACUGCAACAACUAAGGCCUCAUCACCUUGUCUUUCUUCUAAAACUGAAAUCACAAUACCCAGGUUCCAGACAGCGCUCCACUCUAUAUAUUUUGCUAAUAAAGCAACAAAAAUCACCAAAGAUAUGAUUGUGAAGAAAACAAAAUAUAAUUCAGUGUAUAUUAAUACAUAUGCUGCCAAAGGGACAAGUCCAAAUGAAAUAAGAGAAGCUAACAGAAGAACAUAGAUGGAUGUGAUAAGAGGCCCCUUGAAUCUUGUUUCAUUGAUGAAUCUACUGAACAUGUGAUGAAGAUUCAUGGGCUCUUCGUCUUUGUAGAUCAUCGAUGCUACGUCCACUAUAGCAAUCGUGUUGAAGAAGUCUAUGAAAUAUAGGAUCCCAAGGUAUAACAGAACCAGAAGAAGAAACUUAUGAGAAACUUUUCCAAUCCAUCUUUCGAAAUUCAUCAGCUCUGCAUAAUCAUAAUUGAAGUCUUCAUAAGGACUCUUAGAAGGAGGAGUAAUGGUUUCUUGUAUAAUCUUUCCUGUUUCAAUCAAAGUUUGCUGAAAAACAAUCUCAUACAAACACAUAGAGCAAAACAAAGGAACAGAGGCGAAGAAAGAAAAGAUGAUGAAAUUGGGAUUCUUCAAUUGGAUGUUUAGAGAUUCUUUGAUUAAGCCAAAGAACCCUAGUCUCCCUUCCAUCUUCAUUUGAGAGUUUUCAAUCUUUCCCUGUGGAAUCUUGGAACUCAUAGUCUUGG